RNAcentral lists this ribosomal RNA (468 nucleotides) under uncultured bacterium. Its description in RNAcentral is "partial 16S ribosomal RNA". It matches the Rfam family "Bacterial small subunit ribosomal RNA", at positions 28 to 507 of the family's 1533-position model. The record is from RNAcentral.
GACGAACGCUGGCGGCGUGCUUAACACAUGCAAGUCGAACGGAAAGUCCCUGCUUUUGUGGGGUGCUCGAGUGGCGAACGGGUGAGUAACACGUGAGUUACCUGCCCUUGACUUUGGGAUAACUUCAGGAAACUGCGGCUAAUACCGCAUAUGAGCUCCUGCUGUAUGGUGGGGGUUGGAAAGAUUCGGCGGUUGGGGAUGUACUCGCGGCUUAUCAGUUUGUUGGUGGGGUAGUGGCUUACCAAGGCUUUGACGGGUAGCAGGCCUGCGCGGGUGACCGGCCAAAUUGGGACUGAGAUACGGCCCAGACUCCUAUGGGAGGCAACAGUGGGGAAUAUUGCACAAUGGGCGGAAGCAUGAUGUAGAAAAGCCGCGUGCGGGAUGACGGCCUUCGGGUUGUGAACCGCUUUCUCCUGUGACGAAACGUUAGUGACGGUAAUGGGUGAAGAAGCACCGGCUAACUACGUG